CUAUUAAUGGUAAGAAUCCAUUUUCUCUGGUCACACUCUGUACUAACCAUAUGUACCUUGCCAGUUGCCUCCAUAUGCUUGAUAAUUUAUGCAGUGUGGCGUGUUUUGUAGCUUAAGUUUGUAUACAGAAUGGUAAACUGGAUGUCAUUUUGGUUCACAAAGUCUUUAGUUUACAAUUAGCCGAAACUUAGUUAGUAAAAUCUUGACAAAAUUCAUGAAAUAUGUAACUUACUGUCAAUAACAGAACUGUGGUGUUAAAUGCUUAAAGUUUCAGAGUUGUGAUGUCUUCUUAAUUAAUCACUUACUUCUUAUUGGCCUGCUAUCUGUUCUAUUUUGAAUUGCUUACUUGCUCUUGUGGGAUUGCAAAUCUGAUGUUCUGCUUUUUUUUAUCACACGCAAAUCCCAAAAUCAAAGCAUUCAGAAGCCGCCUCGAUCGCAUUGAUGGCAUCUUUUCAGCCAUGUCAUCGAGGAGCACACAAACAACUGCUGCACAAAUGAGAGUAGCUAAUGAAGAAGCCGCCUCAAAUGCAGCAUUUGACGUACGGAACAACAUGGAACAAGUUGUUCCUGGCAGUGAGUUGUAUAAUUGUGCAGGGCAAGAAUUUCUGGCCAACAAGAACAAUCGAGGUUUUUUCAUGAGAGCACCGAACAACCAAGUCCGCUAUGAUAUGAUUUUGUAUGCGUUUAACAAAUUUAGUGGUCCUUGAAUAGAUGCUACUAUUAACAUGUAUCUUUAAAGUUGCAAUUUAGAGAUUUGUCGUGAUAAGAAUUGUCAGGAUAAGAUUUGUCAUUGAACUUUUAGUUGGGAAUUAUUUGCUUUGUACUGUUUCCUUUAUACCGUGUACGUCUAACUUGUUAUGAAUUAUUUUCUUUUAC
RNAcentral lists this long non-coding RNA (876 nucleotides) under Daucus carota (carrot). RNAcentral describes it as "long non-coding RNA (DCAR_LNC004993)". Lineage: Eukaryota; Viridiplantae; Streptophyta; Magnoliopsida; Apiales; Apiaceae. The record is from RNAcentral.